Molecule: long non-coding RNA, 634 nt
Organism: Anneissia japonica
Lineage: Eukaryota; Metazoa; Echinodermata; Crinoidea; Comatulida; Comatulidae
Exons: 3
Source: RefSeq, a predicted model, not a curated record
UUGAUUCAAUUUUGUCUAUUCUUGAAAAUAGACACCCUUGAUUUUUUAGGACAUCAUCGAACUUAGCCUUCAUUUCAGUUGCUAAUGUUUGAAUUUCCCGCCGUAACAAGUCCGUGCUGGUUGCGGAAGUGGUGAGAGCCGGUGUUGUUGUUUCCAGUUUAUCGGCGGCUGAAGUAAUCAAGUUAGAUUGUGGUUGCUUUGAUAUUAAUCAGAUGACAGACGAAUAUCUACUGCAAGAUAUAUGUAUCAAAUAAUGAAUGGCACUAUGCAGCAACAGAGCAUGACCAAUGUUGCAAGACAAGAAAAGUACACUGAAAUUUAGUUCCAAAGAGUAAUCCUGGUGAAAGAACACAAACAAUUAUUGUAUCUUUAAUAACAAGUUACUUGAUCAAGACAACUUGCAUUAUUUCGAAUUAUUGAUCAUUAUUAUAGAGAAGAUAUGAUCGAAUUACAUUAAGAUGUGGAAGAGGAGCCAGAACUAAUAUAAUUAAUUUUUCUUAUAUAGGCCGUGCAAAGCAUAUUAACGAAAGUUAAUAUGGUUAUGCCUAAUAGUUUGCAAGACAAUUAAAAGAAGAUAUACUGGAGUUUAGUUCAACAUCUUGCUGAAUAUUGAGACAGCUUAAUCAUGGUGAAA